ACCUCCCCCCCCACCUCCAGCCCCCAACUACCUCAUGGAAGGGCUGGUGUUAAGGAACUUGGACCCCAGCAGCAAAGGUUGGAUCCACUGGGCUGCCAUCAAGCAUGUCUUUGGCCAAGCUGUGCCAUGUCUGCACCUGGGAUCUGAACCAGCGAACCCCAGGCUGCCGAGAAGUGGAAUGUGGGAACUUAACUUCUGCGCCACAGGGCUGGCCCCCCUUAUUCAUCUUGAAGUCCUCCGGCUAUGCCUCCAACAAAAGUAGCUGGGAAAUGGCAACAGCUGGAGCAGCUGCCUUGGGCCCAGAUAUGGAGGCCACAUAUUGGGAUGGCAGGCCUGGGCAUUACAUAUCCUGUGGAGAAAGAAAGGGAUGCCUCCAGCUCUGGGCUGCUUAUCUCUGAACUGUUACAUGAGAAGGAAAUAGACUUCUAACUUGGUUGGUCCACUCUAUUUUUUGAUUAUUUUUCAUGGAGCAUUUUGACCUGUAUUCUAACCAAUAUACCAAGGUUGAGAAGAGAGGAGACAUUCGAUAUGUUCUUUAUCAUAUACCAGAAAGUGUAGUAAAUUAAUGAACUCAGUCAUCUUUCUUCUGUAUUUUGGCAGCAGAGGUUUAGGAGGAAAUAAUUCCACAAUUGUAUGGUAACGGUAAAAUCAAAAGAUGUCUUGAUACCUUUAACAUUGGGACUAAUAUAGCUUGCAAAUAAAUUGAACCAGUAUCUCAAGAUGAAAAAUGAGGUUGUAUGUGAAAAUAGAUUGUAUAUGGAAGAAUUUUGUGGACAUAAAGUGUUAGUUACAUAAUAAUUAUUAAUUUAUUGUUAUUAUUCAUUAUUGUUUAUAUUUA
This 838-nucleotide long non-coding RNA is filed under the name Equus caballus (horse). Its description in RNAcentral is "lncRNA (ENSECAG00000059576.1)". Lineage: Eukaryota; Metazoa; Chordata; Mammalia; Perissodactyla; Equidae. The record is from RNAcentral.